RNAcentral lists this ribosomal RNA (434 nucleotides) under uncultured Lachnospiraceae bacterium. RNAcentral describes it as "bacterial SSU rRNA". It matches the Rfam family "Bacterial small subunit ribosomal RNA", at positions 341 to 792 of the family's 1533-position model. The record is from RNAcentral. Lineage: Bacteria; Bacillati; Bacillota; Clostridia; Lachnospirales; Lachnospiraceae.
ACGGAAGGCAGCAGUGGGGAAUAUUGCACAAUGGGCGAAAGCCUGAUGCAGCGACGCCGCGUGAGCGAAGAAGUAUUUCGGUAUGUAAAGCUCUAUCAGCAGGGAAGAUAAUGACGGUACCUGACUAAGAAGCACCGGCUAAAUACGUGCCAGCAGCCGCGGUAAUACGUACGGUGCAAGCGUUAUCCGGAUUUACUGGGUGUAAAGGGAGCGCAGGCGGUACGGCAAGUCUGAUGUGAAAGCCCGGGGCUCAACCCCGGUACUGCAUUGGAAACUGUCGAACUAGAGUGUCGGAGGGGUAAGUGGAAUUCCUAGUGUAGCGGUGAAAUGCGUAGAUAUUAGGAAGAACACCGGUGGCGAAGGCGGCUUUCUGGACUGUAACUGACACUGAGGCACGAAAGCGUGGGGAGCAAACAGGAUUAGAUACCCUGGUA